This 354-nucleotide unclassified non-coding RNA is filed under the name soil metagenome. RNAcentral describes it as "partial contains 5.8S ribosomal RNA, internal transcribed spacer 2, and large subunit ribosomal RNA". The stretch from base 1 to 120 matches the Rfam family "5.8S ribosomal RNA", at positions 35 to 154 of the family's 154-position model. The record is from RNAcentral.
GAUGAAGAACGCAGCGAAAUGCGAUAAGUAAUGUGAAUUGCAGAAUUCAGUGAAUCAUCGAAUCUUUGAACGCACAUUGCGCCCGCCAGUAUUCUGGCGGGCAUGCCUGUCCGAGCGUCAUUUCAACCCUCGAACCCCUCCGGGGGGUCGGCGUUGGGGAUCGGCCCUCCCUUAGCGGGUGGCCGUCUCCGAAAUACAGUGGCGGUCUCGCCGCAGCCUCUCCUGCGCGGUAGUUUGCACACUCGCAUCGGGAGCGCGGCGCGUCCACAGCCGUUAAACACCCAACUUCUGAAAUGUUGACCUCGGAUCAGGUAGGAAUACCCGCUGAACUUAAGCAUAUCAAUAAGCGGAGGA